CUCCUACGGGAGGCAGCAGUGGGGAAUAUUGCGCAAUGGGGGCAACCCUGACGCAGCAACGCCGCGUGCAGGAAGAAGGUCUUCGGAUUGUAAACUGUUGUCGCAAGGGAAGAAGACAGUGACGGUACCUUGUGAGAAAGUCACGGCUAACUACGUGCCAGCAGCCGCGGUAAUACGUAGGUGACAAGCGUUGUCCGGAAUUACUGGGUGUAAAGGGAGUGUAGGCGGGAUGUCAAGUCAGAAGUGAAAAUUACGGGCUCAACUCGUAACCUGCUUUUGAAACUGACAUUCUUGAGUGAAGUAGAGGCAAGCGGAAUUCCUAGUGUAGCGGUGAAAUGCGUAGAUAUUAGGAGGAACACCAGUGGCGAAGGCGGCUUGCUGGGCUUUUACUGACGCUGAGGCUCGAAAGCGUGGGGAGCAAACAGGAUUAGAUACCCUGGUAGUCCACGCCGUAAACGAUAUUACUAGGUGUGGGGGGAUUGACCCCUUCCGUGCCG
This 497-nucleotide ribosomal RNA is filed under the name uncultured bacterium. Its description in RNAcentral is "bacterial SSU rRNA". It matches the Rfam family "Bacterial small subunit ribosomal RNA", at positions 336 to 848 of the family's 1533-position model. The record is from RNAcentral.